This 1716-nucleotide ribosomal RNA is filed under the name uncultured eukaryote. RNAcentral describes it as "SSU rRNA". It matches the Rfam family "Eukaryotic small subunit ribosomal RNA". The record is from RNAcentral.
UAGCCAUGCAUGUCUCAGAAUAAGCUUCUUUAUGGCAAAUCUGCGAAUGGCUCAUUAAAACAGUUAUAUUCUACCCGGAGAUGACUCUUAUACGGAUAACUGUGCUAAUUGUAGAGCUAAUACGUGCGUGAAAGCCCGACUUCUCGGAAGGGCUGUAUUUAUUAGAUACAGAACCAAUCCUGGAAACAGGACCUUGGAUGAUUCAUAAUAAACGAACGGAGCGUAUGGCUUGUGCCGGCGCUAUUCCGGUCGAGUUUCUGACCUAUCAGCUUUCGAUGGUGGGGUCUUGGCCCACCAUGGCUUUGACGGGUAACGGAGAAUUAGGGUUCGAUUCCGGAGAGGGAGCCCGAGAAACGGCUACCACAUCUAAGGAAGGCAGCAGGCGCGCAAAUUACCCAAUCCCGACUCGGGGAGGUAGUGACAAGAAAUAACGAUACGGGGUCUUAAUAGGUCUCGCAAUUGGAAUGAGUACAAUUUAAAUCCUUUAACGAGGAUCAAUUGGAGGGCAAGUCUGGUGCCAGCAGCCGCGGUAAUUCCAGCUCCAAUAGCGUAUAUUAAAGUUGUUGCAGUUAAAAAGCUCGUAGUUGGAUUUCGGAGUGGGCCAGUUGGUCCGCCGCAAGGUGUGUUACUGACUGGUUUGCUCUUCUUCGCAAAGACUGCGUGUGCUCUUGAGUGAGUGUGCGUAGAAUUUACGACGUUUACUUUGAAAAAAUUAGAGUGUUCAAAGCAGGCUAUUGCUUGAAUACAUGAGCAUGGAAUAAUGGAAUAGGACUUUGGUUCUAUUUUGUUGGUUGUUCGAGAACCGAAGUAAUGAUUGAUAGGGACAGUUGGGGGCGUCAGUAUUCUGAAGCGAGAGGUGAAAUUCUUGGACCUUCGGAAGACUAACAACUGCGAAAGCAUUCGCCUAGGAUGUUCUCUUUAAUCAAGAACGAAAGUUGGGGGAUCGAAGACGAUCAGAUACCGUCGUAGUCUCAACUAUAAACUAUGCCAGCUAGGGAUUGGUGGACGUUUAUCUACGACUCCAUCAGCACCUUAUGAGAAAUCAAAGCAUUUGGGUUCCGGGGGGAGUAUGGUCGCAAGGCUGAAACUUAAAGGAAUUGACGGGAGGGCACCACCAGGAGUGGAGCCUGUGGCUUAAUUUGACUCAACACGGGAAAACUUACCAGGUCCGGACAUAGUAAGGAUUGACAGAUUGAUAGCUCUUUCUUGAUUCUAUGGGUGGUGGUGCAUGGCCGUUCUUAGUUGGUGGAGUGAUUUGUCUGGUUAAUUCCGUUAACGAACGAGACCCCAGCCUGCUAAAUAGUUUGCUCGAUGUUUCAUCGGUGCCAACUUCUUAGAGGGACUAUUCUGUGUAUAACGAAUGGAAGUUUGGGGCAAUAACAGGUCUGUGAUGCCCUUAGAUGUUCUGGGCCGCACACGGGCUACACUGCGAGGUUCAACAAGCUUCAUACCCUGGUCCGAUAGGACUGGGCAAUCUUUUGAACUCCUCGCGUGAUAGGGAUAGACUAUUGCAAUUGUUAGUCUUCAACGAGGAAUUCCUAGUAAACGCGAGUCAUCAACUCGCAUUGAUUACGUCCCUGCCCUUUGUACACACCGCCCGUCGCUCCUACCGAUUGGAUGAAUCGAUGAGCCUUUCGGAGAGCGGUCGUGAAACCACUUCGGUGGUGGAACGGUUGCCCAAAGUCAUGCAAAUCUGUCAUCUAGAGAAGAGAAGUC